This 82-nucleotide transfer RNA is filed under the name Felis catus (domestic cat). It matches the Rfam family "tRNA". From Rfam's summary of the family: Transfer RNA (tRNA) molecules are approximately 80 nucleotides in length. The record is from Rfam by way of RNAcentral. RNAcentral also lists the same sequence under 1 other name. Lineage: Eukaryota; Metazoa; Chordata; Mammalia; Carnivora; Felidae.
ACCUGGGUGGCUCAGUCGGUUGAGCGUCUGACUUUAGCUCAGGUCAUCUCAUGGUUCGUGGGUUCGAGCCCUGCAUCAGGGC